RNAcentral lists this ribosomal RNA (226 nucleotides) under uncultured bacterium. RNAcentral's name for it is "partial 16S ribosomal RNA". It matches the Rfam family "Bacterial small subunit ribosomal RNA", at positions 538 to 763 of the family's 1533-position model. The record is from RNAcentral.
GCGUUGUCCGGAUUUAUUGGGUUUAAAGGGUGCGUAGGCGGCCAUUUAAGUCUGGGGUGAAAGCCCGUUGCUCAACAACGGAACUGCCCUGGAAACUGGAUGGCUUGAGUACAGACGAGGGUGGCGGAAUGAAUGCUGUAGCGGUGAAAUGCAUAGAUAGCAUCCAGAACCACGAUUGCGAAGGCAGCUGCCUAGACUGUAACUGACGCUGAGGCACGAAAGCGUG